AGUGAUUGAACUCCAAAAUCCUUAUCAGAAUUUUUCGAUUAUAAUGGGGGAGAAAUACCGCGUUGCCACAUCUCCAACUCCUUCCACCACCACCGACUCACCCGCAUCUGAGCCUACAUCAACGUGUCACCGUGCCGGAGCUCUGAAGCGCAAGGCCAGCUCCCUCUCACUAUAGCGUGUCAAACCUGCACGGUGUCAUCGCUGCGUGGUCAUCUUCCCCGGCAAGUUCUGUCGCUUGUUCUGCCUUUACCCCGACGGAUGUGAAGCACCUGGAGCACAGUUUGGGCGUGGACUCAGUGCGGCUGGCUGAAAAGAUUUGAGAGAAGAGAAAAAAAGAGAGAUUCAGAGAUGAGAGAUAGCUUGCCUUGCCGUCGUCGUUGCCGUCACCACCGCAGUUCAUCGCCUCUCCAGAUCUGGUCGCAAUGCCCAAGCCUCUGAGGAUGUUCCAUUACGACCUCCUCGACGAGACGAAGAACAAGCUCGAUUACAUCCUCUCUCUCUCUCUCUCUCUCUCUCUCUCUCUCUCUCUCUCUCUCUCUCUAUUGAGAACUUCCUCGAGCGCCGCCUUCGUAUUCUCAUCUUCAAGUCCGGCAUGGCCAAGUCCAUCCAUCAGUGCAUAUUAGGUCAUUUUACAUCUUUUCACAUUUUUCCUCAAUUUAGGGUUUUUAAAUUCUUAAUUUUCUAUCACUCACGUUUCUUUGUUUUUUUUGUGCUUACUUUAAAGUUUAGAAUCUAAUUUCUUAAACAUUCAAGUAGCUCAAAAUUAUAGUCUGAUCUCUUUGUUGGUUUCUAGGCUUUUGAUAAAUUAUUUAAUUAUGUAUCUAGCUUAGUUCAAAUGAUUGUAGAUGAAGGAUGAUUUCAAGAAGUGAAUAAAUUUUACUGUGAGCAGCAUUUUCACAGGCCACAGAGGAGGUUCAUUGAGCUAGAGGCUCUAGAGAAAAUCAUACAGGAAAGAAUAGUUAUCAUUUUGGAUGUCUGAGAAAGGAUACUCUACCUAUUAUGCAACUUGAAGAGAUUAAAGUUGUUGUUUCUGCGCUAUGGAACACACGAGGCUUGAACUGGCCUAGUUCUUUCGAGCAACAAAGACAGAGAACAGAAGACCUAGACUUGCUUGAUUGGCUUAAAGCCAUGUUUGGUUUCCAGG
Long non-coding RNA from Arachis stenosperma, 1144 nucleotides. RefSeq lists it as uncharacterized. The transcript is spliced from 3 exons. The record is from RefSeq and is a predicted model, not a curated record. NCBI's taxonomy places the organism in Eukaryota, Viridiplantae, Streptophyta, Magnoliopsida, Fabales, Fabaceae.